GCCGUGUUAGGAUUUCUGCUUUCAAUCUGUCAAUCUUGUGCUUGGCUGAGAGGCAAAUCAUCAUAUGCUUUUUGGGAUUCUCCACUGAGGCAAGGGGCUAAUAAUCCUGCCCACUUACCUGGAGGCCAUCCUUCUCGGGUAGCAAUCCUUUCAAAGGUUGUCAGGUAAGCCUCCAUGUCAUCAACCUCACUCACUUUAUGUAAAAAGUCAGUAACUCUAAUCCGGCGCCCCCUAUCCAUAGUAGGGGUAGUCACGCUUGACAGUAUGGUUUGUUGCAAAGCACUUGUUAGCUUUACUCUGUCUUCCCGCUGUAUUUCCAUAAUGCAGUCUAUUUGUAUGGCCAAUAAGCGGUUUGUCUCC
This is a non-coding RNA of Pelobates cultripes (western spadefoot toad), 360 nucleotides long. The record is from the annotation of a GenBank genome assembly. NCBI's taxonomy places the organism in Eukaryota, Metazoa, Chordata, Amphibia, Anura, Pelobatidae.